CUUUAAUAACAUUUUGAUUCUAUAAUUUGUUCCUAUUAUUAUGAAAAGCAGUUGGUAUUACUGCCUUUCCCUGGUUAAUGUUUAGGCAAUAUUUCAGAUUUUUUUAAAUUUAUUUUUUAUCUGCACUAAAGGAAUAAAUUAUAUCUGGAUAUAUAUUCAGUCAGACAGUAAAGGUUGUCUUUCAGCAAAAAUGUUUUGUAUUGUAAGCUUCUUUAUCAACACUAAACUAAAAUGUAUAAUGCAAUCUCAAAUUCACUGUUUUUGUCAACAGAACUGUAAACAUGAUCUGGUUUCCUCAGUAGUUCCAAGCUUGGAGAAAUGUGCCGUGUGCAAUGGACCCUUUUCUGCCUUGAGAUGGCUUAGUAUUAAAUGUAAAGUUUGUUCCUGCGUCUGGCACAGAUCCUGUUAUGACAAAAGGGUCAAAAAGACUGAUUGUGAACACCUACCAAUGGUUUCUGAAGAGCCCAGUUCAAGUUCAAGUGAUGAUAUAUCAGAGGAGGAAUAUGUUCCAGAUUCUUGCAGUCAGUCAGACAGUUCCUGCACUGAGCCUGCUUCAAAAAUUCAAAAACGUAGAGACUGGCCAGACAUACUCGUAUAUGACAACCCAUUAUGUGAAGGUGCAGAUGGUACAGAGCAGGUUGAGAAGACUUGUGAGGAGGCAAAGCAAGUAUUAGGAGAAGUUCAGAUUGAAGUUCAGGAGAGCAGAACUGAAGAUGAAUUUGUUAAGGGUAACACAGGAACUGGGGAAGAUCAAUGCAUCCAGUCUUCAAACAUUUCCACUUCGGGAAAUAAGAAAAAUUACUGCUACAUCUGUGGUAAACCACAGUCAAAAAUUGCCCGUCACUUGAAAACCCAUGAGAAGACAAGUGUGGAUGUUGCUCAAGUUUUUGCACUCCCAAAAUAUUCUAAAGACCGUAAGAAAAUGCUGAAUAAACUCAGGAACCAAGGGAACUAUAAACAUAACACGGAUGUUUUAAAGAGUGGGACUGGAUUGCUUAAAAUCAGACGUAAAUCGAAUAAAAAGUAUGAUCCAAAGCAGUAUGUGCAUUGCAUGUAUUGCCAAGCUAUGUAUCUUCGGAGGGAUCUGUGGCGACAUGUUCGAAAAUGUCCCUCAAAACCAACGGAAGCCAAUGCAGGUCCUGGAAGAACUAGGGUCUUGUCUUUGGCCACAAUGUCUGAAUCAGCCCAGUGUCAACAGAUAUCCCAAGGUGUUUGGAAGCUGUUAACUGCGAUGAAAGAUGAUGAUGUUUCUGCUGCUGUGCGCAGUGACUUCUGUAUUCUUCAGCUGGCCCAAUCGUUUUUCAAUAAACAUGGUCAAGAUCCCACCAAAUAUGAAUAUGUUUGGCAGAAGCUCAGAGAAGUUGGAAGACUUCUGCUGACACUGCGCAAAGAGUUUUCAGUAUUUACUAUUGAGGAUGCUAUAAGGCCUGCAAAUUUUCAUUUGGUCAUUCAAGCUGUCAAGAAGGUGUCUGGGUUUGAUGAAGAAAAGCACUGCUACAAAACACCAAGCCUUGCACUUAAAUUGGGUCAUUCAUUGCAAAAGGUAUGCGACAUCCUACACUGCAGGGCUCUAAUGGCAGGGGACAGUGAACUGAAAAAGUCAACCCGGACAUUCAAAACACUGUAUACCUCCAAAUGGUCUGAACUUGUCUCUCACACAGCUUUGACUACCUUGAAUGAGGAACACUUUAACAAGCCAUCUACCCUGCCGUUUACAGAAGAUGUGCAAUGUCUCCAGAGACAGGCCACCUGUUGAGGAACCUCCAGGCACCUCAGACGAUAUUGACUCUGCCCUAGAAGGCACAUCUACAGCAUUCAACGAAUACACAGACAGCGUGAACAAAGAGCGCGGCAGGACAGCAGAGCAGCAUGACCAACCUGUGUCCCCUGGAAAUUGCCCGGAGAGACAGAAUCAAAGAAGGCAACAGAAAAGGCAGUGGUCCCCAAAAGAGGUUGCAGCUAUAAUGAGACAUUUUAAAAAGCACAUUGCCAAGGGAAAACUGGCCACAAAAAUUGAUUGCCAGCAGUGCAAGAACGCUGAACAUCCUGAUCUUGAUAGGCGGUCACUUCAAAACAUCAGAGACUUUGUUAGAAAUCGGGGCAUAGCUCUGCAAAAGGAAACCAGCCAAUAAAGUGUUAUGUUGCUGUUAUGAUGCAAUUAUGUUGUAGUUCUUUGUUGUUCUUAAAAAAGGGCUAGUUUCCGCUGAUGCCUCAGUUUUUUUGUAAACUGCUGUCUGUAUUAAAAUGGCACCUUUUUCACUGACUGAUGUAAUUUGUCUGUUUGUAUAAGCUGUCUUUUAUAAGGUCAUACUGGAUGUAGAUUACCAGUCAUAUCACACAAAUAGCAUUGUAUUUCAGGAGACCACUGCACUUUAAAGUGGUCCUCCUACUGCAUCAGCGAUGUCAUUGCUGCAUGUGUACCAUAUUAAAUACCACUUGUAUUUGCAAUGACUUUGAAGUUUAAUCACUCAUGCCCUCAAAGGGGCAAAAGACAUAAAUCAGACAAUAAAAGUGGUUGCACACAUUGACCUAUCUAUAUCUAUUUAUGUAU
This is an RNA transcript of Sander lucioperca (pikeperch), 2551 nucleotides long. RefSeq lists it as uncharacterized. NCBI's taxonomy places the organism in Eukaryota, Metazoa, Chordata, Actinopteri, Perciformes, Percidae. The transcript has 7 exons. The record is from RefSeq and is a predicted model, not a curated record.